UACGUAGGGUGCAAGCGUUGUCCGGAAUUAUUGGGCGUAAAGAGCUCGUAGGCGGUUUGUCGCGUCUGCUGUGAAAACUCGGGGCUUAACCCCGGGCCUGCAGUGGGUACGGGCAGACUAGAGUGCGGUAGGGGAGACUGGAAUUCCUGGUGUAGCGGUGAAAUGCGCAGAUAUCAGGAGGAACACCGGUGGCGAAGGCGGGUCUCUGGGCCGACAUUGACGCUGAGGAGCGAAAGCGUGGGGAGCGAACAGG
This 253-nucleotide ribosomal RNA is filed under the name uncultured bacterium. RNAcentral describes it as "partial 16S ribosomal RNA". It matches the Rfam family "Bacterial small subunit ribosomal RNA", at positions 524 to 776 of the family's 1533-position model. The record is from RNAcentral.